GUAGCUGGGCCGUGAACGGCCGUUUUCGCGCUGCGCUCUCUCCGGUCUUGUUCGUUCUUUCUGCUGCUGACACUCGCGUGUAGAGGCCUUACACAGAGUCGGGAGCGGCCAGGAAUGCUGUCUCCAUUGCGUGGAGUUGCACAUAGUUCCACUUUCUGGCGGAGUUGGAUGAUACGAGCGUCUUCCGGGACUUGUCCUGCAGCAGAAGGGGCCCCACAGGAAGACGUCCUGUAGGCUUCCUGUGAUCUGACGGUCUGGUGUCCUUCCAGUAGGAAACGUCACCUUCUGAAGUUCAACGCACAGUACACACGCUUCUCUCGGUUUGCAUUUUUUGGUCAAAAUGACAUGUUGGGAUUUUGGACGGCGUCACUGUGCGUGUGUGUGUGUGUGUGUGUGUGUGCGUGUGUGUGUGAGCAGGGAGGCAGGACGCCCAUCAACAUGUCAACUGAUGGAUUGGUCGCUGUGGGGAGAGAUGCUCUGGUGAUCGCUGACUUGCCUGUCUUCUCACUUCUGACUACACAUUACAUUCGUUUUGCGAGGCGACCUACGAUCGGCCCCAUGCUGGGACGAUCUGGAAUCGAACCCCGACCUUCUGUACCAAAGUCAGCGGUGUGACCCGCCAAGCUAUACCAGCUACAUGACAGACGUUACUUUCUUGAGGGAAGACAUGACGAAGUCACCGCUCAGUAGAUUAGCUGACAGAUCCUCAUGGCUUUGCAGCCGCUGUAAAAAAAAGCAACAACCAGCACUAUGGAUAGUACGCCGUACUGUAGCUCCAGACUCCAGAACCCACAACUCCCAGCUCCACACCCAGACGCCUCCUUCCUCUCCUUUAACAGCCAGACAUUCUCCAAACCGUCUGGGGUCUGGGAGUCAACCGCCACCCCUUGACACCAAUCCGCACAGGUUAAUUGACAAUGAAAAUACCUGGAGGGAGAACAGCCGUUUAUGAAAUCAAGAUUUAAACCUGGCCAUAUAGGAUUAUGAGAAAGAAAAAAAAGAGUCAUGGGCACGCCGCAAAGAAAACAGCUCGGCCCGCGGAUGAAUAGGUAUCCCUUCUUCUUCUCCACUGUGCUGUUUUUCUUCGCGGAGCUUGUGGUCUCGAAGUGCUUUGAGACCCCGGCGCUGAGGCAAUUUAAUGGAUGUACAGCAGCUGCACGGCGCGAGAAAAUAGUAUUAAAAUAUGUUCCUGGUGUUUUGAUACCAAACUCAGGCUUUAGGCGGGCGCGCGGUGUGUGUCGGCGGCGCUAAGCCCGCCUGCUGCAGUGACACGCGGGGGCACAGCUGUGUGGAAGAAAAAAAAAAUGGCGCCCCCGAGCAGUUCGGCCUCUCACAAUCAGGCGCGGAGCGUUUCCGCAGCCGGGGGGAACAUUCGAGGCUUGAUUCACGCUCCCGUGGCUCUCGCUUGUCGCUCAAUGUUGACUAAAAGUUCCAUCUUGCGCUCUACCACCCUUAAGCUCUCGACUCAUGGAUUGAAUUAACUACCCCCCGAACACAAAACACACGCAGAGACGUGAUGUACAUGGAGAGAGACAGCAGAACGCACGCUCAUUUGCUGCUUUACAGAUCCUCAUCCAAACCACUUAUUCCUGGAUGACGGACGAACAAAAAUCUAAACAUGUAUUCCAUAUUUUUUCUUUGAGCCUGACAUGUUGUUAUUCAGCACUGCUGUCGGCGGAUUGCGGAGCACUUCGCGGCGACAGCAUCAGUCCCGCUCGCCGACGGCUACCGAGCUGCUUCCCAGGCAUUAGCGCCGUGUGACGACGCCGAAAUGGGUCGAAGAUGAGCGGUUUUGCAGAAGAAAGCGCGCGGCAGACCUCUGUUUCCAUAACAAUACUGCCGAUGCAGCACACCCCCUCCCUGUAAUCAAGGGUUUACUCACAGCUCCUUGUUUUGACAGCGUUGCGUCAACUGUUUUGACAGCGGCUAAACUUUUCAACCAUUCAGCUCCUCUGUCCCUCUUUUCUUUUUUUCUUCUUUCCAUCCUCUCAUGCCUGCGUCCCAACAUCGUCUGCUCAUCAAACUUCCAGCGGCGCCAAUAUCUCUAUUGCUUCUUUAUUAUCACAUGGGCGGCUCCGAGAGCGCUGUGACACGGCAGGUUCUUGGUUUUUGUAAACAUGGGGAGUUCUUUCUUAAUUUCUUUUUCUAGAGUGGUAUGUAGCUCUAAAGUUUCUUCACACUGUCUCGUGAUGACUGGCACACUGAUUAUCCGUCAGAGGGUUAUCUGACUGUGUAUGUAAAGAUGAACGCUGCGUCUCCACCUCCUCCGUCUGCGCCCGCCGUCUUGCACGUUUGACGCCAUUUACACAUUUGGAGCCGCGGUGUCGAGGUCACGCCCCCGAGUCGAUCUCAUCCGUCAAUCAUGACGAAUCAGUGAGAUAAGAAUGAACUAAAUCUACCAAAAAACAAAACAGAUUACACUUCACAGUUACACCAUUGACCAUACACAGUUGACCAUAAAGGAGUAAAGGGUCAAAAUAAACCUUUUAAUAAACCAUGUUUUGACUUGGUUUGAAAACCUUUAAAGCACCAGUGUGUCAUUUUGGGAAUUUUUCUGGCGGCAUCUGGUGGUAAAGUUGCAAACCGCAACCAACUGAGCGACGUAGCAAACAUGGCGACUCAGAGGUGGGG
Scophthalmus maximus (turbot) is the source of this 2631-nucleotide long non-coding RNA. RefSeq lists it as uncharacterized. The record is from RefSeq and is a predicted model, not a curated record. Lineage: Eukaryota; Metazoa; Chordata; Actinopteri; Pleuronectiformes; Scophthalmidae. The transcript is spliced from 5 exons.